Peromyscus maniculatus bairdii (prairie deer mouse) is the source of this 76-nucleotide small nucleolar RNA. The record is from Ensembl. NCBI's taxonomy places the organism in Eukaryota, Metazoa, Chordata, Mammalia, Rodentia, Cricetidae.
GUGCAAUGGUGUGUGAAUGUCUUCAGCCUGAAAUCACUGUGAAGAGUGAAAUCGAGCUUUUUAACCCUGAGUCACA